GUGGGCGUAGCUCAAACGGUUAGAGCGUCUGGUUGUGGCCCAGAAGGCUGGGGGUUCAAGUCCCCUCGCUCACC
This 74-nucleotide transfer RNA is filed under the name Chloroflexota bacterium. RNAcentral's name for it is "Chloroflexi bacterium tRNA-His". It matches the Rfam family "tRNA". From Rfam's summary of the family: Transfer RNA (tRNA) molecules are approximately 80 nucleotides in length. Their secondary structure includes four short double-helical elements and three loops (D, anti-codon, and T loops). Further hydrogen bonds mediate the characteristic L-shaped molecular structure. tRNAs have two regions of fundamental functional importance: the anti-codon, which is responsible for specific mRNA codon recognition, and the 3' end, to which the tRNAs corresponding amino acid is attached (by aminoacyl-tRNA synthetases). tRNAs cope with the degeneracy of the genetic code in two manners: having more than one tRNA (with a specific anti-codon) for a particular amino acid; and 'wobble' base-pairing, i.e. permitting non-standard base-pairing at the 3rd anti-codon position. Lineage: Bacteria; Bacillati; Chloroflexota. The record is from RNAcentral.